GCAAGUUGAAGACAGCUGCUGGUUAUUUUAACUAAGGAAACUCCGCCCAUCACACAGAUUAUGGCAUUGAAAGAUGUAUGCUGAGAAGUAUGGCAAUGGAGCAGAAACGACACGGCUUUUAAUGGUUGACGAUGAUAUUUAAUUGAGGACAUUAAAAGAAUCGGUGAAACGGCCAUCCCAUAAGAUGCAAGAGCAAAAUUGCUGAUGAUCACUGUUGUAGGCAAGGUAGUUCGCUAAGAUGAAUGCUGUUAAAACAGAAGGUGGGUUACUCUUAACAGGC
This 280-nucleotide RNase P RNA is filed under the name Methanobrevibacter sp. RNAcentral's name for it is "RNase P RNA component". It matches the Rfam family "Archaeal RNase P". From Rfam's summary of the family: Ribonuclease P (RNase P) is a ubiquitous endoribonuclease, found in archaea, bacteria and eukarya as well as chloroplasts and mitochondria. Its best characterised activity is the generation of mature 5'-ends of tRNAs by cleaving the 5'-leader elements of precursor-tRNAs. Lineage: Archaea; Methanobacteriati; Methanobacteriota; Methanobacteria; Methanobacteriales; Methanobacteriaceae. The record is from RNAcentral.